ACGGAGUACUUCGGUACUUAGUGGCGGACGGGUGAGUAACGCGUGAGAAUCUGCCUUCAGGUUCGGGACAACCACUGGAAACGGUGGCUAAUACCGAAUGUGCCUUAGGGUGAAAAAUUUAUUGCCUGAAGAUGAGCUCGCGUCUGAUUAGCUAGUAGGUGUGGUAAUAGCGCACCUAGGCGACGAUCAGUAGCUGGUCUGAGAGGAUGAUCAGCCACACUGGGACUGAGACACGGCCCAGACUCCUACGGGAGGCAGCAGUGGGGAAUUUUCCGCAAUGGGCGAAAGCCUGACGGAGCAAUACCGCGUGAGGGAGGAAGGCUCUUGGGUUGUAAACCUCUUUUCUCAAGGAAGAAAAAAAUGACGGUACUUGAGGAAUAAGCAUCGGCUAACUCCGUGCCAGCAGCCGCGGUAAUACGGAGGAUGCAAGCGUUAUCCGGAAUGAUUGGGCGUAAAGCGUCCGCAGGUGGCUGUGUAAGUCUGCUGUUAAAUAGUGAGGCUCAACCUCAUAAAGGCAGUGGAAACUACAUGGCUAGAGUGCGUUCGGGGCAGAGGGAAUUCCUGGUGUAGCGGUGAAAUGCGUAGAGAUCAGGAAGAACACCGGUGGCGAAAGCGCUCUGCUAGGCCGCAACUGACACUGAGGGACGAAAGCUAGGGGAGCGAAUGGGAUUAGAUACCCCAGUAGUCCUAGCCGUA
This 696-nucleotide ribosomal RNA is filed under the name Tolypothrix sp. Ep_Yyyy700. RNAcentral's name for it is "bacterial SSU rRNA". It matches the Rfam family "Bacterial small subunit ribosomal RNA", at positions 66 to 804 of the family's 1533-position model. Lineage: Bacteria; Bacillati; Cyanobacteriota; Cyanophyceae; Nostocales; Tolypothrichaceae. The record is from RNAcentral.